Helianthus annuus (common sunflower) is the source of this 2428-nucleotide long non-coding RNA. RefSeq lists it as uncharacterized. NCBI's taxonomy places the organism in Eukaryota, Viridiplantae, Streptophyta, Magnoliopsida, Asterales, Asteraceae. The record is from RefSeq and is a predicted model, not a curated record. The transcript is spliced from 2 exons.
UUUACAUUUCAAAAAUUAUUUCUCCGUUUUGUUAUAUUUUUAAUGUUUACAAAGAUGUUAUUGUUUCGAAAGUGACGAGAGUAUGUUUAAUUUGGGGGAAAAUUGGAUAGUUAUAUUAUUAAUUCAAUUGUAUGUAAACUUCAACAAUUGUAUUAGAUUGUGAUGAUAUCAUUAAGGUUACAUAAGAGGUGUUUAUAUAGAACAAUCGAGUCACCUUCAUCCUCGGGAACAUAUGGUGCUAUAGAUCAGCGAUGUUAAAAGUGGCGGACACUUUAUAAUGUCCCGGGAGAUCGAUCUUGUACGCAUUAUCAUUGAUUCGUCGUAGAACAUGGAAAGGUCCAUCAGCCCGUGGUUGAAGCUUCCCUAAACGUCCCUGUGGAAAACUAAGUGACACAAGGAGACGGACGUUCGUGUUGACUCAAAACGCCCCCAAUGUCCACUCCCGAAGCAUCACAUUCGACAUGAAAAACAUGUUCAAAGUUUGGUAAGGCAAGAACGGUGCGUUGGUGACGACGGUUUUAAGAGCAUCGAACGAGUGUUGGGCGGCGGAAGACCAAAUUCCAGCUCAGAAACUCAUUGUUGCACCCCCCUGCGCGCAGGUAGGACUUGUGGUAAAACAUGUCAUAAAACUACAAUGGAGUAGUAAAGGCUUUACCUUAUAAACAACCACUCACUUUGUUCCCACACCAAUGUGGGACAAAGUAUUUACCACAUUUUGAGACUUUUAUUCACACACCCAAAACUUACAACAUAUAAGUCCUAAACUUUUGCUAAUAACUAUUAGCUACAUGAUCUUAAAUGGCAUAUAUAAUAGUUAUUUUAAUUUUAUAUGUGGAAUCUUUAUUUAUUUUCAAAGCAUAACAUAUUUUUUAUAUUUUUUUUUCUCUAUGUGUGCUUUUCUUAAAAAAGCCCACGUUUUUUUUGCGCAUUGCGCCUAGGCUCCGGGCAAGGCCGAUGCGCCUCGCCUGCGCCUUGCGUCUUUGACAACAUAGGCCUGAUAGUUGGUCCGGAACCGUAACUGCUGUUGCUAGCACUUCAGAAUCGAGUAAGUUCACGUUUGUGAAGAUGCGGGAUCUUAUUUUGGGAGAGGAUGCUCGACGUCGUGGUUCAGGUGAGUCUUCUAGUUCUUUGUUGAGCACAGAGGCCAGGGGAAGAAAAAAUCAGCGGGAAAGUCGUCAGAGCAAGAGGAGUGUAUCUAAGGCUCGAAAGGAUGUGGUAUGUUGGAAUUGCAAUGAAGUAGGAUACUUUAGGAAUCAGUGUUUGAAACAGAAGAAAGAAAUAAACUCUGCAGGAGACCACAGUGAUGACGAUGAUGCGUUAGUCUGUAGUGUAGAGAGCAGUGUGGAUUCCUGGGUCAUGGAUUCUGGUGCUUCAUUUCACGCUACCCACAACAGUGAAGCACUGCAGAAUCUGAAAGAAUGUGACUUUGGAAAGGGAAAAUUGGCGAAUGAUGAGGUACUUAAUGUUACCGGCAUGGGUGACAUUGUUUUGAAGACUUCAGACGGUUCGUGGACUUUAAGAGAUGUCAGGAUUAUUCCAGGUCUGAAGAGUUUGUUGAUUUAAGUUGGCCAGUUGGAUGAUCUGGGACAUGAAGUUAAGUUCGAGAAUGGACAUUGGAAGGUUGUUAAAGGGAAUAUGGUCAUGGCUCGUGAAAAGAAAAGAGGCUCAUUAUACAUGGUCAUAUACCAUUGGAAGGAAGUGACGUUCCAGUUCUCAAGAAAAACAAAGUCGAGCUCACAGAAUCUCAGGGAGAGAAGAGGGUUUCCUUUACAAGAGAGAAACCUAGAGUUACAGGGAAGAUUCGGGAUGAACGAGUUUGGAAGUUCAAACCAGUCAAGGGACAUCGUGACAGUGGGAGCGCAAGGCGUGUUUCAGUUACAGUUUCAGGCGACAGUGGGUUGAAAAGACUAGAAUUCCAGAUGGAAAAGUCCCUCCAGAGAAUCAAUCUCUUGCUAGUAUUGGAGAGUGUGUGUUCUCGGGAUUUCUCAGGAUUCGGCAGUUCGUUUAUGUGGGAGUCGGCCGGGACAAGAACGAGUCACAGGUUGUGACUGGUGAGUUGAGGCUCAGUGGGAGCUUCAACGUGCCUUCAGGUUAAUUGUUGAGAAGGCUGCUGCAACUAGGUGGUAAAGGAAGAUUACAAGAUGUACAAAUGUUGAAGACUAUUGGGCGUUGUUCGAGCCUCCAAGUGGGAGAUUGUUGGGCGAAUUGGUGUGGAGGCCCGAUCAAGGGAGGGCGACCGACCCUAACUUUGCAUUGGCCCACACGUCUUUAUUUGGCUAUUAAGUUAGGGUUUUAAUUUAGCUGGCCCUAGUUAUCUCUAUGUGGGCUUGGGCCUAACUUGGGGAUCAAGUUUCCUAACCCUAGAUUAGUCUCUAUAUAGUGAUAUUUCCUUGAGCACCUGAAUAAUAAAGAAACCCUAGUUGCAGUA